This 1088-nucleotide long non-coding RNA is filed under the name Callithrix jacchus (white-tufted-ear marmoset). RNAcentral describes it as "lncRNA (ENSCJAG00000075901.1)". Lineage: Eukaryota; Metazoa; Chordata; Mammalia; Primates; Cebidae. The record is from RNAcentral.
CUCACAGGCCCAGGCAGGAUGGCACGUGCUUGUCCAAUUCCUGGCCUGGACCCAUCCCCGCGGGGGCAUCGGCCCAGGACGGAACAGGUAGCAUCUAGGUCCUCCUUUUAAUGGGCUCAGACCCGGCAAUCUCCUCUCAGCCUGCCGCUCGGUAGCUCUGCGCCCUCGGGCAUUUCACCUCCCAGGUCUCAGUUUUGCUGCUCAUAAAAUGGUUGGACCAUCUGGAGGGGAGGUGUGCGGGCGCGUGGAAGGAGGAAGGUGAGGGUGCUUCCCAGGGAGGGCCAGGUGAAGCCGGGAGUCGAGCAUUUUCCUAAGAUUGCUCGCGGCCGCGGGCGUGGGUGGUGAGCAUCACGAUUAAGAAGGAACACACGCACGCACACACACACCUCCUUCCUUCUUCCCUUCCUCUUCCUCUCACCCCGCCCCCCGGGGGGGCGGUACCCUGUUCUCGCGGGGGAGGUUUUGGGGCGGAGGACCGCGGAGGGACUGAGCCCAGGAGGGUGGCUGGCCGCGGAGGAGGGCUUGGGUUCGGCCCGCUGCAGCUGGGUGGCCGGCGCGGCGGCGGCCCCUCCCCCGCUCUCCCUGGCCGCCGCCCCCUCCUCCCUUCGUCCUCCUCCUCCUAUCCCUCCUCCCUGUCCCCCACCCUCCUCCCGGGCCCCGGCAGCUGCGGCUCGGGGAGCAGCCGGCGGCGCCGCGACCGCGCAGCCUUUGUCUCGGACCGCCGGGCGCGCGGGGCCCAGCGCAGCCAGGCCACGCGGGGACGGAGGAGGCAGAGAGAACGGGCAGUGAUGGAGAAACGGGAGAGGAGCCGGCCAAGCGCCACCGUCACCACCAUCACCAACCACCACCACCAUCACUGGCCGUCGCCCAUCCCAGCUCCCCUGCCUCACCUCCCAUCUCAUAUCCCUGUGCAGUGCCAACUUUAUCAGAUCAUCUCCUUUCACUGGGUACUACUUUGGAAAAGCGACAGAGUGCGCAAAAUUAGGAAUAAGUACAUCCGCUGUGGGACAUUUAUCUUCCCGUUUCCAUUUCGCCACCUCAAUUUUCCCAUCAGGAAAGGGGGCACAGCGGCACUUCAUUUCUCCUAA